This 253-nucleotide ribosomal RNA is filed under the name uncultured bacterium. Its description in RNAcentral is "partial 16S ribosomal RNA". It matches the Rfam family "Bacterial small subunit ribosomal RNA", at positions 524 to 776 of the family's 1533-position model. The record is from RNAcentral.
UACGAAGGGGGCUAGCGUUGUUCGGAUUUACUGGGCGUAAAGCGCACGUAGGCGGGCCGUUAAGUCGGGGGUGAAAUCCUGGAGCUCAACUCCAGAACUGCCUUCGAUACUGGCGACCUAGAGUCCGGAAGAGGUGAGUGGAACUCCUAGUGUAGAGGUGGAAUUCGUAGAUAUUAGGAAGAACACCAGUGGCGAAGGCGGCUCACUGGUCCGGUACUGACGCUGAGGUGCGAAAGCGUGGGGAGCAAACAGG